GGUGAUUAGUCAAUAAUAAAUUCAUUGAACAAGCUUAGAUCCACCGACGAAAAAUUGGAUCCCCUUUCUCCAUCAGUCAACCCCCUCCAUUUAUCGUAUAAAUCAACCAAAAUCCCCAUUUUUUUAGCCAUAAAUCAAUCACCAAACUUCUCUGUAUUUCACCAACGAAAUUCUUAACAAUGGCAGCCGCUUCGCCAACACCAGUUCUUCCAAUUUCCAACCCCCAAACCACCUCCACAACCGUCGCCACCACCGAUACCCAACAAACCGUCACCGGUGUGGGUCCUACCCCGGCUCUCCGUGCAUUCAUCAACCGCAUCUCUGAAACCGUCCAAGGUGGUCUCUCCAAUCGCCGUCCAUGGGCUGAACUCGUUGAUCGUUCUGCCUUCGCUAAACCCGAAUCUGUUUCCGAUGCUACCCUUCGUAUCCGCAAAAACUACUCCUAUUUCCGUACCAAUUACCUUUCUCUCCUCGCCGUUGUCCUCGCUUUCAGUCUCAUCACAAACCCAUUUUCCCUCAUUCUUCUCACCGGUCUCCUCGCUGCUUGGCUUUUUCUUUACCUUUUCCGUCCAUCAGAUCCGCCUUUGGUUCUAUUUGGU
This 599-nucleotide unclassified non-coding RNA is filed under the name Hevea brasiliensis (rubber tree). The record is from RNAcentral. Lineage: Eukaryota; Viridiplantae; Streptophyta; Magnoliopsida; Malpighiales; Euphorbiaceae.